GUGCACUUAGCUCAUGAAGUGGUUAGAGCACCCUUCUAGAGUUCACGGAAAAAAGGUCACGGGUUCGAGUCCUGUAGUGCACA
RNAcentral lists this transfer RNA (83 nucleotides) under Cronartium ribicola 11-2. RNAcentral's name for it is "tRNA-Und (NNN) (tRNA-Und-NNN-53-1)". It matches the Rfam family "tRNA". From Rfam's summary of the family: Transfer RNA (tRNA) molecules are approximately 80 nucleotides in length. Their secondary structure includes four short double-helical elements and three loops (D, anti-codon, and T loops). Further hydrogen bonds mediate the characteristic L-shaped molecular structure. tRNAs have two regions of fundamental functional importance: the anti-codon, which is responsible for specific mRNA codon recognition, and the 3' end, to which the tRNAs corresponding amino acid is attached (by aminoacyl-tRNA synthetases). tRNAs cope with the degeneracy of the genetic code in two manners: having more than one tRNA (with a specific anti-codon) for a particular amino acid; and 'wobble' base-pairing, i.e. permitting non-standard base-pairing at the 3rd anti-codon position. Lineage: Eukaryota; Fungi; Basidiomycota; Pucciniomycetes; Pucciniales; Coleosporiaceae. The record is from RNAcentral.